UGUGGAGUUUUGUCGUUGAUUAAGUUAGAAACCUAAAGAAUUACUGAUUAGCAGAGGUCUCGAUGCUCUGCAGGAAAUUUAUUGGUUUAAUAAGAUCAUCUCCAACCCAUAUCUACUUUCAUCUCUAUAGAAGUGGAUUUGCUCUAAUGUAUGUCUCUGUAAUAGAAUUUUUCUAUUUAUAGGGAAAAAUAUAGAGAUAUGCUAUUUUCACUUCUAAAUAUAGAGACAAAAAAAUAAUUUUUUUCUAUAUUUACCUCUAAAAUAAAUGAACUCUAUUAUAGGUACAUAUUGGAGCAAUUCUACAUCUAUAAUAGAGAUCUUUAUUUUAGAAGAAAACAUAGAGAUAUACAUUGGUGAUGCUCUAAUUACCAGUUUAGCACAAACACAUGAUAAGCAAUAAGUGUUUUGUUCAUACUUCAUUUUUAGUUUUUACUUUACAUGGCUUAAUGAAAUCCUAUAAAUAUUUUUGAAUUGUUAAUACAUAAAAUAAUAAAUAUGAAGAGCUACAUUAUUGAAAAGUGUUUUAAGUUUAGUUCACUGUUGACAAAAAAAAAAAUUUAGUUCACUGAAUUUUUAAAAGAAAAAAGCAAAAACGUUAAUCACCCAUAAAAUUACAUUAAUGAAACGGGCCGGCCUUAGGAUAUUUUGGGCAUUUGGUUUUCAAAUUAAAAUUAGAAAGUAUAUAAUUCAACAUAACGGAUUAAAAUGAAUCAUUGUAAAGAGAUGCCCAAGAGGAAGAAGAUAUAGCCGUUUAGAGAGAGAGAUUGAUCUUGGCUUCAACGGGACGAUUUUGAAUCCGAAAUUGAAAUUAGAGUUUUGGUUUGAUUCCUAUUUCCUUGCGAUUGUUGUUAUUUUUUAGGGUUUGAAUCUUUUUUUACUCUAUUGGUGUUUUUAAUCGAUUAGAUUCUUCUCAGUUACUCUUGCUUCUCUCACCUUCCUUCGUCUUUUCUCAAUUCCAGAAAAAUUAAGAUCUCUCAUGGAUGAAGAAUCCGAUUUGCUGAUGUUUAAUGGUUUCUUUGAGAAAAAGCAGAGCAGAGACUUAGUAUUAGAGAUAUGUUGGGCCGGAAGAUAUGUAUCUUACGGACCAAGUCUGUGAAGCCUGUGAAACCCAUGAAGACCCUCAAGAAUAAAAGGAAAGAUUUGAAGAACAAGUUACUCUCAAAAUAUUUUAGCAUAUUUACAUUAAGUGUUUAGGAAAGUUAGCAUUAUCUAGUGUUAACAUUAUGUUAAUGUUACCACUAUAUACAUGCAUAUUGUAUUCUCUUAUUAAACACAAUACAAUAAUAUAUCUAUUCUAUUAUAUUUUACAUGGUAUCAGAGCAGACGAUUCGUAGGGAUCAAAAUUAAGCUUUCGCGUUAUAAGUUUUAAACUUCGAAGAUGCUUACCAUCGGUGGUGUUGAUGAUGGCAAAGAAGGUGGUGACGACGAUUCAGACGAAGACGUCAACGUAUACGUCAAGUUCUCUCAUUAGGGAUACUUCUUAAUAAUAAGUAUUAGGGUUUUGUUAAGUACGUUAUCUAAGUCAAAGGAUUUUUUAUUUUUUUUUAUUUUGGUGAAUGCUUGAGAAUUAUUGAGGGUUAAGGUUUGUAGUUUCACAUGGGUUAUUUUCUAUCUGAGAUUUUUCUAUAGUUUAGAAUUUCUCAACAGUUGUUUUCUCAUGGGAUUUAUUGGUUAUAGUUUAACCAUUACAGGGGAGUUCUAGUUGAACGUUCAAAUUCUUAGGUCAGUUUUUUUUAGUCCGUGUUAUGGACUGUCCAAGUCAAGGAUAAUUGUUUAUGGAGCUGCAGUUGCGCCCACGAGAUGUAUUCUCAUUGUCAAGACCGAAGAAGAGCUGAAGAUUUCAUCCCUCCUUGUCUAAGUUGAAGUUUAUUCCCGAAGGAAUCUACUGAUUUGUUUUCUUCGACAUAGUGUCCACGACAUACGUGGUCUGCUUUGUGAUUGCAGAUUUGCGUGUUGCAUCCCACGUUUGUCGUGCGGGGGAGUAUUAGAGAUAUGUUGGGCCGGAAGAUAUGUAUCUUACGGACCAAGUCUGUGAAGCCUGUGAAACCCAUGAAGACCCUCAAGAAUAAAAGGAAAGAUUUGAAGAACAAGUUACUCUCAAAAUAUUUUAGCAUAUUUACAUUAAGUGUUUAGGAAAGUUAGCAUUAUCUAGUGUUAACAUUAUGUUAAUGUUACCACUAUAUACAUGCAUAUUGUAUUCUCUUAUUAAACACAAUACAAUAAUAUAUCUAUUCUAUUAUAUUUUA
This is a long non-coding RNA of Brassica napus (rape), 2246 nucleotides long. RefSeq lists it as uncharacterized. NCBI's taxonomy places the organism in Eukaryota, Viridiplantae, Streptophyta, Magnoliopsida, Brassicales, Brassicaceae. The record is from RefSeq and is a predicted model, not a curated record. The transcript is spliced from 2 exons.